AAAAGCACAUCAAGGCUCGGGCCUGAAGGAGCUUGCAGGUUCACUGGGGAGUCAGGGCCUCACUUUUAAUCCUAUUUUGCAGUUAUUUAUACAUAUAAAUACAACCAGGAAGGCAGCAUGAACAUUUGAGGAAGGAAGAGAUUACCGCUGGCCACAGAGGAUUAGAGGAAGAUGUGUGGAGGGGAAGUACUUGUGGCUGGUGUUUUUGGAGCAGAGUGAGCUGGGAGGGGGUAAGAUGUGACCGGCAGAGCCAAGACCGUGGGAAAGGGAGGGCUGCCCACUUACCAUGUGCCAGGGCACAUCCCAAGCCCUUUACAAACAUUGACUUUUUCUCCUGACAACCCUGGGAGGUUGGCAUUUUUCUUACCCCUGUUUUCCAAAUGAGGAAAGUAAGGCGCAGGUAAGGCAGCUUGCCACUGUAGCAAGUAGGGAGCUGAUCUGGGGCCUUAAGGAACCUCAGCACCAACCCUCUUCCUCUAAGCUCUGCUCCCCUCAAUCUGACCAGCAAUGGCAAAGGCUGAAGAUCACCGUGGAGACCCU
This 540-nucleotide long non-coding RNA is filed under the name Pan troglodytes (chimpanzee). RNAcentral's name for it is "long non-coding RNA NONPTRT000833". The record is from RNAcentral. Lineage: Eukaryota; Metazoa; Chordata; Mammalia; Primates; Hominidae.